Long non-coding RNA from Diabrotica virgifera virgifera (western corn rootworm), 626 nucleotides. RefSeq lists it as uncharacterized. The record is from RefSeq and is a predicted model, not a curated record. NCBI's taxonomy places the organism in Eukaryota, Metazoa, Arthropoda, Insecta, Coleoptera, Chrysomelidae. The transcript is spliced from 3 exons.
GUGGAUUUAGCAAAAAAUAAGCAAGGUUUCAUCCAUUGCAGUGGAAACGAACAUCCAGCAGCCAAAUUCGAAAUCGUUGAAACUUAGAAUAAAGAAGAGGGUGGAUUUAGCAAGAAAUAAGCAAGGUUUCAUCCAUUGCAGUGGAAACGAACAUCCAGCAGCCAAAUUCAAAAUCGUUGAAACUUAGAAUAAAAAAAGGGUGGAUUUAGCAAGGAAUAAGCAAGGUUUCAUCCAUUGCAGUGGAAACGAACAUCCAGCAGAAAAAUUCGAAAUCGUUGAAACUUAGAAUAAAAAAGAGGGUAAGUGAUUUUGUUUUUUUAUAAGCCAUACAAUAUAAUAUUGAAAUGAUUAAGGAAAUAGUUAAGCAGUCUGAUAAUAUAUUAUUAACUAUUAAAAGACUUCGUAAAAUAAUUUUUGAUAAAUUUACUCAAAAUGAUGCUAAAGUGUGGUUAAAGCGAUUAAAUGCACACAUUUGCAAAUGUAAUAAUUUAAUUAAAGCUAAAAAAUUACCCAUUGGAACUGCUAGAAAAUUACAAUCAAACGUAGGACAUUUUAAACAUUUUCGAAGAAUAAUUUUAAAUUUUAAUAGACAUGUUGGUCUAGGACUUAAUUCAAAAUUACGAAAU